AGAGUUUGAUCCUGGCUCAGAACGAACGCUGAUGGCGUGCCUCAUACAUGCAAGUCGAGCGGGUAGCAAUACCAGCGGCGGACGGGUGAGUAACGCGUGAACAAUCUGCCUAAAAGUGGGGGAUAACCAUUCCAACGAAUGGCUAAUACCGCAUAGGGUUCGGGGGCGGCAUCGCUCCUUAACGAAAGGCUUCGGCCGCUUUUGGAUGAGUUCGCGUCCCAUUAGCUAGUUGGCGGGGUAACGGCCCACCAAGGCAACGAUGGGUAGCCGGCCUGAGAGGGUGUCCGGCCACAUUGGGACUGAGAUACGGCCCAGACUCCUACGGGAGGCAGCAGUAGGGAAUUUUGCGCAAUGGGGGAAACCCUGACGCAGCAACGCCAUGUGUGGGAUGAAGCAUUUCGGUGUGUAAACCACUGUCGGCAGGGAAUAAAGCCCGCCUUUAGGCGGGGAUGAAUGUACCUGCAGAGGAAGCCCCGGCUAACUUCGUGCCAGCAGCCGCGGUAAUACGAGGGGGGCAAGUGUUGUUCGGAAUUACUGGGCGUAAAGGGAGCGUAGGCGGGCUCUUAAGUUGGAUGUUUAAAACCGGGGCCCAACCCCGGCGUGGCAUCCAAAACUGGGAGUCUUGAAUGGGACAGAGGCCAGUGGAAUUGGAGGUGUAGCGGUGGAAUGCGUAGAGAUCUCCAAGAACACCAGUUGCGAAGGCGGCUGGCUGGGUCCACAUUGACGCUGAGGCUCGAAAGCGUGGGGAGCAAACAGGAUUAGAUACCCUAGUAGUCC
This 777-nucleotide ribosomal RNA is filed under the name uncultured bacterium. RNAcentral's name for it is "bacterial SSU rRNA". It matches the Rfam family "Bacterial small subunit ribosomal RNA", at positions 8 to 796 of the family's 1533-position model. The record is from RNAcentral.